This 74-nucleotide transfer RNA is filed under the name Oscillospiraceae bacterium. RNAcentral's name for it is "tRNA-His". It matches the Rfam family "tRNA". Rfam says of the family: Transfer RNA (tRNA) molecules are approximately 80 nucleotides in length. Their secondary structure includes four short double-helical elements and three loops (D, anti-codon, and T loops). Lineage: Bacteria; Bacillati; Bacillota; Clostridia; Eubacteriales; Oscillospiraceae. The record is from RNAcentral.
GUGGGUAUAGUUUAGUUGGUUAGAACGCCGGAUUGUGGUUCCGGAGGUCGUCGGUUCGAAUCCGACUACCCACC